CAGUAGCCGCGGGAAUACGGAGGGUGCAAGCGUUAAUCGGAAUUACUGGGCGUAAAGCGCACGCAGGCGGUCUGACAAGUCAGAUGUGAAAUCCCCGGGCUUAACCUGGGAACUGCAUUUGAAACUGUCAGGCUGGAGUCUUGUAGAGGGGGGUGGAAUUCCAGGUGUAGCGGUGAAAUGCGUAGAGAUCUGGAGGAAUACCGGUGGCGAAGGCGGCCCCCUGGACAAAGACUGACGCUCAGGUGCGAAAGCGUGGGGAGCAAACAGAAUUAGAUACCCCUGUAGUCCCUGUCUCUUAUAC
This 301-nucleotide ribosomal RNA is filed under the name uncultured bacterium. RNAcentral's name for it is "partial 16S ribosomal RNA". It matches the Rfam family "Bacterial small subunit ribosomal RNA", at positions 509 to 807 of the family's 1533-position model. The record is from RNAcentral.